CCUACGGGAGGCAGCAGUGAGGAAUAUUGGUCAAUGGGCGCGAGCCUGAACCAGCCAAGUAGCGUGAAGGAUGACUGCCCUACGGGUUGUAAACUUCUUGUAUAAAGGAAUAAAGUGAGGCACGUGAGCCGUUUUGUAUGUACUUUAUGAAUAAGGAUCGGCUAACUCCGUGCCAGCAGCCGCGGUAAUACGGAGGAUACGAGCGUUAUCCGGAUGUAUUGGGUUUAAAGGGAGCGUAGCUGGGUUGUUAAGUCAGUUGUGAAAGUUUGCGGCUCAACCGUAAAAUUGCAAUUGAUACUGGCAGCCUUGCGUACAGUUGCGGUAGGCGUCAUUCCUUGUGUAGCGGUGCAAUGCUUAGAUCUCAC
RNAcentral lists this ribosomal RNA (365 nucleotides) under uncultured bacterium. RNAcentral describes it as "partial 16S ribosomal RNA". It matches the Rfam family "Bacterial small subunit ribosomal RNA", at positions 338 to 700 of the family's 1533-position model. The record is from RNAcentral.